GAUGAAGAACGCAGCGAAAUGCGAUAAGUAAUGCGAAUUGCAGAAUUCAGUGAAUCAUCGAAUCUUUGAACGCACAUUGCGCCCCUUGGUAUUCCGAGGGGCAUGCCUGUUCGAGCGUCAUAUUAACCACUCCCGCUUGCGGGGUCUUGGGCUUCGCCUCCGGGCGGGCCUUAAAAUCAGUGGCGGUGCCGUCGGGCUCUACGCGUAGUAAAUUUUCUCGCGAUAGGGUCCCGGUGGAUGCUUGCCAACAACCCCCAACUUCUUAAGGUUGACCUCGGAUCAGGUAGGGAUACCCGCUGAACUUAAGCAUAUCAAUAAGCGGAGGA
This 326-nucleotide unclassified non-coding RNA is filed under the name soil metagenome. Its description in RNAcentral is "partial contains 5.8S ribosomal RNA, internal transcribed spacer 2, and large subunit ribosomal RNA". The stretch from base 1 to 120 matches the Rfam family "5.8S ribosomal RNA", at positions 35 to 154 of the family's 154-position model. The record is from RNAcentral.